This 415-nucleotide unclassified non-coding RNA is filed under the name Hevea brasiliensis (rubber tree). The record is from RNAcentral. Lineage: Eukaryota; Viridiplantae; Streptophyta; Magnoliopsida; Malpighiales; Euphorbiaceae.
UAAGAUAUCAGAACAAGCCAUAAGCCCUAGUUACAUGCAAGUCCAAAAACAUUAAAAUGAGAUAACUGGAAACUAAGGCCUAAUCCCAAUAAGACUAAACAUAAAUAAGGGCUCAAAAGUCCAACACGACACAAUCCUAGGACUAAGGACGGAAGUAGUAGCGUACAAGCAUUACCGCCGGCUCUAACAUCUGAAAAGGGAAGAGGGUUCUUACUAUUGAAACAUCAUCCGAGCACUAAGCAAACCAAGAAUACGCAGAACAGAAAGCACUUCAACCAUCUAAGCACAGCACCCUUUUCAGAGUAUCAGCAUUUUGCAAGGAGGAAGAAUGAUAGAGCUCCGAUGACUUCAAGCCUUAUAGGUUGGCAACCAUCAACAUAGUCGGUGAAAUUAUUCCGGAGAUGCCAUUCUCAAG